RNAcentral lists this long non-coding RNA (922 nucleotides) under Triticum aestivum (bread wheat). RNAcentral's name for it is "long non-coding RNA (TAES_LNC005165)". Lineage: Eukaryota; Viridiplantae; Streptophyta; Magnoliopsida; Poales; Poaceae. The record is from RNAcentral.
AGAAUCUGAACAACCAAAGUAUCAUAGUCCUGAUUUUAUUGAUCAAAACCAUAUAUAUUGAACAUGAUCCUCACAUACAUUUCUGGAGAUAAAGUACCAUUCAGAAAUUAUGAACCCCAAAACUCUCUAGAUAACCAUUGUAGUUGUUCAUCUCUAACAAGAAAUCAUGCAACAACUAGAAAAGAGAUUUUCUUUUCAUAAUCUUCGGCCAUGACACACCAUCAUCAGUCCUUGUACUUAAGUGCAUAUCAUUCUUCACCAAUUACUAUAGCACCUCUUGAUGCUUGUAUUACGGUGGACCAUCAGUUCUACAAAAACAUAAUUGAUUUGUAAGUCAGAUAUAUUUACCUCUUAGGGAUUCUGCCAAAUUAAAUCAAAAGAGGAAAUUGUACACAAAAGUGUGUUAGUUAUAAGUAGUAUAUAUUAUGUACACCUAAUAUAUUUUCAGAGAUUGAUGCUCAAUAAUCAAGCGAUGCUUACAUCGACCCAUCUCCAGAAAUUGGAGUCAAUAGGCCAUCCAUGGAAGAGGUCAUUCUGCAAUCAUCAGACACAUUAAAUAUUCUUUUUAGUUGAGAAGACAAGACAAAAUUUUCAAUCGUGUACACGAUAAUAAGAACUUAGGUAGACAAACCCACGGUCCUUCCUUUCAGAUCUUUCAAGUAGAGAAAAUGAAAAUAUGUGUUGAUCACAAGUGUAGGCACUUACCUGGAUCAUGUGCAACACCCAUCUCCAAGAAUCCCUUGAGAAGACUGGUAUCAUCUAUCACCUGUACGACCCUGCAUCCAUGUUUGCAUCUACACUUUCAAAAUGAAAAAAUGCAAACAAAAAUGGUGCAGUGAAGAAUACAAUUAGUUAAUCACAUGUUGCACGGCUGCUUGUGGACGUCCCAGCAAUGCUCACGCCUAGAUCUGUUAGAUCUGUU